Dipodomys spectabilis (banner-tailed kangaroo rat) is the source of this 163-nucleotide long non-coding RNA. RefSeq lists it as uncharacterized. The record is from RefSeq and is a predicted model, not a curated record. The transcript is spliced from 3 exons. Lineage: Eukaryota; Metazoa; Chordata; Mammalia; Rodentia; Heteromyidae.
UAUUUAAAGUAUGCAGAAUCCGUGAAGGGUCGCUUCACCACCUCCAGAGACAACAGUAAGAACACACUUUACCUGCAGAUGAACAGCCUGAGAGUGGAGGACACGGCCAUCUAUUACUGUGCUAGAGACACAGUGCAGGAAAUCCAGUUCUGGGGACAGGGCA